UACCGUCAUGUGUAGCUCUAGUGAAUGAAUAUUCCUACUAUUAACUCGUUGCCAGCGUGGUACAGUAGAAUAGAUGCAUGCUAAAGGUGAUAUUUCCAGUUCUGGGCCCAACUUCAUGGCCGCUCAACUGCUGGUAACCCAAUGUUGUAGAUGCAGGUAACAGCCUUCAGUCUAAUUCCUUCCUUUUUGCUUUAUUGUUGGAGAGAAAUUUGGUUGUAGCCAAGGAGAUUGUACAUUUGGUUACACUUCUGAAACAGUCAUACUGUUGUAGACCACUCUGUUCGUGUGAUGCAUCGGCCAUCAGGUGAAAACUUAUGGGUCCGUUCAGCCUCUGAACCCUGAUCUCGUCGCCCCUCUGUUUUUUCCUUUUUGGAAAAGGAGGUUUAAACCCUCGGCUUCUGCAUCAAGCGAUGCAUGUGGCCAUCAAACCACACGAAGCCAUCACUCACACCUAUAAAACUCAAUUAUGUGGAGUGCUUUUACUCCUCAAAUCUAAAUCGGUGUCAUCGCCGAUCCAUCCACGUAACGUAUUGGAACGAACAACCAGUACAUCAGACCUAAAGUGUACACCACACAUGCACACGUUUUAGACGCCGCCGUCAUCAUCAGACCGCUGACCCAUCUUCAGGAGAGAGAUCCGCAUCAUCCUUGUCAGCCCGUCCAUCUGUCCAUCCGUCGAUGCCACCACGGCGCCACCUCCUCGCGCUCGUCCGUCCAAGCGCGAAGAUUCUGGAAGAUCUGUCGUGCGUAGCACCUGCCGACCAGGCAUGACACAGCGUAGCACCUGUCGGUCAGGCAUGACUUGACAUCUUCACCGAAGCUCCGUGCAAGACGAAGCCGCUCCACCUCCUGCCUCUUGUCUUCUAGCGCUGCUCCACAAACAAUGCUCCCAAGAGAGAAACGAUGCCGCAGUACCGCCAUCGUACGAUCUGGAAGACCAGAUCCUAAGGUUUCCCCUGGAGCAGCAUGAGUGGGUCGACAGUCGUUGCACGGCGAUGCCUUCAUCAAGGUAACGACGCAUAACGCCGCCAUCGCUUGCCAUCGGCUCGGUUUUCACCGACAACUUGUCAUCCUGACUCGCAGCUGGAAAUAGAUGGCGGAUCUUGAGAUCUGACCAUCCAGCCUCAGGCCGACCACCUCCGACGGAGGAGACCGCCGGCUGCACCGGCCAGAUUGGAUCUGACCGGAGGCGCCGCCAAGCCGCCCACCCGACAAGAUCAAUGUGAAGGACACCCGACCACCGGAGGUAGCCGCCGCCACCAUCAUGGGUGAUCCUGCUGCCGGAUUGGCCGCCAUCUGCGUGCGUGCGCCCGCGCCGCGGCCACCACGCCUCCUCCAUGGAUCUGGGCAGGAUCCCAUCCCUGAAGAAGAGGGCUGCAGUGACAUGGGCGCACAACCGCUAUCAUCGCCGUCCUCCCACCACCACCGGGCCUAGCGACGCGAGCCGAGGAGCGCCGGGCCGUCCACCCAUCGCUCGAGCCUCCUGCCCGAGGACAAGCCACGCCAGGGUACCAGGGACCCCGCCGCCGCCGGAUCUGCACGGGCUUAGCCCGGUCGAGUCCAUAGGGCGGCGACGAGGGGGAAGAGAAGGUGUGAGAGGGACCUGGCGGAGUAGAUCUCGCCGCCGCCCGAGUUGCCUCUCUGCUAUUCAAUGAAAGCUUGCUGUGUAGCCUUUUCGUCAAAAUUAAAAGAAGAAGAAAACGUUGUGGAUGAGCAUGCGCUUUCCUGUGAAGCCAUGAUCAUGCACCAAACUAGGUGUGCUUCGGCACACCUGUAUUUACAUAAGUUUACAAUUGACGCAACAGAUCUAUUUAUAGAUCAAAACUUUACUAAAAACACAUGUUAGAACGCGUCGCGGUUUGCCGGAGAGCUGUCUCACAAACCCUACUCAGAUCAGCUCAACACCAACUUCAACAAACCACCACAGAAGGUGCGCACGGAGAACUCCGUGAUGUUUACCAGCUCGAGGACCCCUUCCUCUUCUUCCAUGAUGACGCAGCUUCCGUCUCCUCCCUCCUCACUAAGGCCUAGGUCGGCGAGCCGUUCACCGCGCUCCGCCUCAUCUAGAACCUCAGCAUGCAAGGUCUAGGCAGGGUAAAUGGAGGUCUAGGCAGGGUAAGAAAGGGCUUAGGGCAUAAAUGGAGGUCUAGGUCGGCGAGACUUAGGGCAUAAAUGGAGGUCUAGGCAGAGUAAGCAAGGAAUUGCCUACACAAAUAAGAAAUCAUGCCACAUACUACACUAGUAUGCCAAACGGGUUAUAUUUCAAUGGUAGUAGACGGUAAUUCACUUCUUUAUAUGCGCUAAACUAAUAUCAACACCCAUAUAAUAAUCACAAAUGCACUACGAGUAAAAACUAAGUUACCACCUAGGUCGCACCUAGGGCUCUUAGGCACCGCCUAGGCACUAGGCGAAGGCCAACCGCCUUGCUUACGCCUACUGCUUUUUCCAACCUUGUCUAAAACUAGCCCUAAGUCAUACAAGGCCCAUGGGCCCAAGUGGAGGUGAUGCAACACCUUUGGACUUGUAAUUUGACUUGGAUUCUGCUGUAACAUCACAUUGUUUUGUCAAUAUCUCAACACUUCAAGCGAAUUUGAAGGUGAAUCCAAUUGGGUUGGAAAGAGCACAAAAUCUGCUUUCCAACAGAAAAAGAAUUACCCAAUUCGGAGUCCGAAUGAAAGAGAUCUCGGCAUUUUGAGUCAGGUAUGUUUGUGCAGUCAGAAUCUGAGUCCAGAACAUGGGAGACUUGGACUCUAUCUUCUCUUGGCCCAAAAGUGAUGUGAGAGCACUUUUUUUAACAACACCUAAACUUCUCUUUUUCUCUUAUCUUCAUAUGUGGAUUGUACAAAUGUCCCAUACACCUGCAAUUAGGCAUGGCACAAAGGUCUGUUAAGUAUUUUUGUCCUGGAUAACAUAAAUAAAUUAUUGCAUAUACUACAAGAAAUACGUCAACUUGCGACCAUCACUAUUGGUCGCUGAAAGGUCAUUGUUUUUCAUUUGUGACCUUUUUGUGACCAAAAACAGAUGGUCAAAAGCUGGCAGUCGUAAACUGAAAUUAACGAGGCAACAACCAAAACAAAAGGUCAUGGAUUCUACGACCUUCUGUUUUGGUCACUAGCUGUCUGCCCAGGCCACGUCGGAUCCGACGUGGCAAAAUUACGACCAAUUGAAAAGGUCGUUGAUAAGAUUCAGCCGGGUCCAAUUCGGUGUUUUAGAUGGGCCGAGUCCAGUAAUUCGGCCUUUUAUGUUUUUUUGGACUGAUUUUUUCUGCUAUAUGGCUGGGCCUUUUCUAUCCGGGCUCGGCCUUUUUUCCAGUCAUUUUUUCAACAUAAUACCAUUUGGGGCAAGGCCUUUUUGCAACCCAGGAAUUAAUUUGUCCAACAUUGUUCGGGCCAAGGCCUCUUCCAGCCCAUCAAUAUUUUCAGCCUAGUAAUGCAAAAGGACUAGAUGACGGAGAAACAAAUGAUUUUUUUUCAAGUUUGCUGUCAAAGCAACGUUUGUUCCAUCAUACAACAUUUGUUGUGAUUACAUUUUCAUCACAUUACAGACAUAAGAAGCAGCAACUAAAAGAUUCUCAUCUAUAACAAACGACAGCCAUGUUCAAAUAACCUUGGCAAUAAAAAAACAGCAUCACAACUAAUAUACAGUACAACUUCCGCUUAUGUGCAGACCUACAGGAAGGCCAAACAAAAAAAAAUCAUUGAAAAUAUGAUCACUAGCUUAGAUAUUUAGAGAUAACUGCUAUGCUGCCGAUUAGAUUUGGUUGCAACCCUUCCAAUUUGGUAGGGGAAUCUCUCUAGCAUCAUCUCUCAUAACCUAAAAGAAGGAACAUAAACCAUCAUCAGAAUUUGCAACUUUUUGUCCUGCCAAAAUAUUAGUACUUGUUUAAAACAAAGGAUUGAUGGCAAAAAUUAUUUCUGUAGGUGUUUGUUGGAUACUGAUGGUAGUUUGAGUUGGUAGGCUGAAUAGUUCAGUGUGUUAAACAACCAGGUGCAUUUUUCUCUACAGCUGAACCAGGUAUAUAGUUCAAAGUCUGUUAAGCAUGUGACACAAAACAUUUUUUGUAUUUCAGCAUGAUAGACCAUAAACAUAACUUGCUAAUUGCAGGUUAAAACUAAAAUGUUCGGAGUGAGCCAAAUAAUGCAUAGGUAAUUAUGAUGGAGAAACCACACUUUUAUAAAAUGUUUAAAUACUCUAAAAUAAAUAAAACAAUAGCAAAUACAAUUAUUUAAUGCUUUAGAAAUGAUGAACAUUUUCCGAACUAAAUUGUUAUAAGUAUUAAACUAUUGUGGCAGUGGCAUAAUUUGUAAAAUCUAAUUAGGUGCCAAUUUGAUAAUUUACUAAAACUAAAAUAAAAGGAAACUAAAAGAAAGCAAAAAUAACAAAUAAAAGUAAGAAAAGAUAAAGGCAAAACAUCAAAGGGUUAAAAACAGAAAAACAGAACCCCCCUCCCCCAGUGGGCUUCGUGGCCCAACUGGCCAUUCAGCCCGUCAUGCCGGCCCACUCCCCGCACACCGCCUGGCCUAUAGGCCACGCCCCGAAACCCUAACCGCACUACCCCCACUCACCCCCUCCCACAUCGCCCACUCCUCCCCCCGAUCUGGAUCGAGAUCGGGGGCUCGACGCCGCCGCCGCCCGGUGCUGUCCCGCCUCACGCCGGCGCCUCGCCGCCACACGUCGCUCACCGCCGUCCUCCACCUCCUCCCCGUUCCUGGACCGGGAAGUGCCCCCGACGCCGUGCGCCGCACCAUCGCCGCCCGGAGCUUCGCUCCUUGCUGGACCUCCCCGACCGCCUCCCCACCGGACUGCCUCCUCCACGCCUUCGUCAUCCUCGGCCUCCACCACGAGCACCACUGCCCUGGACCCUACAUCCCUCUGUGAGCGCCAUCCCCAUCUCCCUCUCUCCCCGUCGUCGCGGUUGCCUUUCUCCGCACGAGCACACGCUCACUCGCCGUCGCCCCUCGCCCGUGCAUGGCCACGCGCCCGCUGUCCCGUCAUGGUCACCGCCCCUCUUGGCUCCAGCGCAUGCACACCGCACACGCCCGUCCCCGACUUCUCCCUCGCGCGCCCGCUCGCUUCGGCACCCGCGCUUGCCGUCACCGGCCACGGCCACCGCCGAAGCCCCCUGCUACCCGUGCCUCCCGCUCGUCGGUCCGGUCCCCACUCCGGCCACCACCCGCGGCCUCCUCCUCCCCGCGCCACUCCUCAUCGCCACGCCCCGCGGCCACCUCCGCUGCCUCCCUUGGCCGGCGCCUUGGCCGCCGGCGCCCAGCCGCGUCGGGCCAUGGCCUCCGCCUGCGGUCGGGUGCCCGUAGCGCCCGUUCGGGCCACCCCGCACCCGUCGCCCGUUAUGCCCCAGGGCCUAUGACAUAUGGGCCCUCCCUAGAACGGUUUUAUAAAAAAAAGAAUUAAAAUAAUAAUAAUAAAUUUAAUUAAUUAAUUAAUUAAAUUAAUUAACUAAAUUAAUCCUAUUUAGUUAACCUAAUUAACUAGUUAGUUUAAUUAAACAGUAAUUAGAUUACUUAAACCCUAAUUAGACUAAACAAUCAAUGACGAUCGGGUCCCACAUGUCAGUUGACUAGUCAACGCCUUUGUUGACUGCUGACGUCAUGCUGACGUCAGCGUGCACUGUUCUGGAUAAUGUUGAAUUAAAAUAUUUAAAUUAAUCCUAAAAGUGAUUUAAAACUUAAAAAAUUAAUUUAAAAUAAACCGUAGCUCAGAUGGAAAAACUUUCUACAUGAAAGUUGCUAAGAACGACGAGACGAAUCCGGAUACGCAGCCCGUUCAUCCGCCACGCGUCCCUAGCAUAGUGAACCUGCAACAUUUCACCUCUGGUUCAUCUAUCCGAAAACACGGAACACCGGGGAUAUUUUCCCGGAUGUUUCCCCCUUCACCGGUAUCACCUCAUACCGCGUUAGAACACGUCUAGCUCUGCUUGUUGUCCUGUUAUGCACCUGCUUGCUAUGUAUUUACUGUUUCUCCUCCCCUCUUCUCUCCGGUAGACCCCAUGACGAUGCUGAUGCCCCUGUGGUCGACUACGUCACCGACGACCCCUCCUUGUCUGAGCAACCAGGCAAGCCCCCCCCCCUUGAUCACCAGAUAUCGCCUAUUCUUCUCUAUACUGCUUGCAUUAGAGUAGUGUAGCAUGUUACUGCUUUCCGUUAAUCCUAUUCUGAUGCAUAGCCUGUCAUUGUUGCUACAGUCAUUGAUACCUUACCCGCAAUCCUAAAUGCUUAGUAUAGGAUGCUAGUUUAUCAUCAUUGGCCCUACAAUCUUGUCAGUCUGCCUUGCUAUACUAUUGGGCCUUGAUCACUCGGGAGGUGAUCACGGGUGUAUACUAUACAUAUAUACAUACUACAGAUGGUGACUAAAGUCGGGUUAGCUCGUUGAGUACCCGCAACUGAUUCGGAUAAGGGGGCUGAAAGGACAGGUGGCUCCAUCCCGGUAGAGGUGGGCCUGGGUUCCCGACGGCCCCCGACUGUUACUAUGUGGCGGAGCGACAGGGCAGGUUGAGACCACCUAGGCGAGAGGUGGGCCUGGCCCUGGUCGGCGUUCGCGGUUGCUUCUUAAUAACACACUUAACGAGAUCUUGGUAUUUGAUCUGAGUCUGGCCACUGGCCUAUACGCACUAACCAACUAUGUGGGAAAUAUAUGGGCACUCGACGUCGUGGUAUCAGCCGAAGCCUUCUAGACGUCAGCGACUGAGCGGCGCACGCCGGAUUGGAACGUAAGCCUGCUCUUGUAUUAAGGGGGCUAGUUCUGCUUUCGGCCUCCCAUGCAACAUGUAGGUGUGCAAUGGGCGAUGGGCCCAGACCCCUGCGCCAUAGGAGUUAGACCGGCGUGCUGACCUCUCUGUUAGGCCUAGGUGGGGCUGCGACGUGUUGAUCUUCCGAGGCCGGGCAUGACCCAGGAAAGUGUGUCCGGCCAAAUGGGAUCGAGCGUGUUGGGUUAUGUGGUGCACCCCUGCAGGGAAGUUAAUCAAUUCGAAUAGCCGUGAUCUUCGGUAACAGGACAACUUGGAGUUGUACCUUGACCUUAUGACAACCAGAACCAGAUACUUAAUAAAACACACCCUUCCAAGUUCCACGGACAACCCGAUGAUCGCUUUUCCACAGGGUGACGAGGGGAGGAUCGCCGGGUAGGAUUAUGCUAUGCGAUGCUACUGGAGAUGCUACUUGGAAGACUUCAAUCUACUCUCUUCUACAUGCUGCAAGACGGAGGCUGCCAGAAGCGUAGUCUUCGAUAGGACUAGCUAUCCCCCUCUUAUUCUGGCAUUCUGCAGUUCAGUCCACUCAUAUUGCCUCCUUACACAUAUAGCCAUGCAUAUGUAGUGUAGCUCCUUGCUUGCGAGUACUUUGGAUGAGUACUCACGGUUGCUUUUCUCCCUCUUUUCCCUUCUACCUGGUUGUCGCAACCAGAUGCUGGAGCCCUGGAGCCAGACGGCACCGUCGACGACGACUCCUACUACACAGGAGGUGCCUACUACUACGUGCAGGCUGCUGACGACGACCAUGAGUAGUUUAGGAGGAUCCCAGGCAGGAGGCCUGCGCCUCUUUCGAUAUGUAUCCCAGUUUGUGCUAGCCAUCUUAUGGCAAACUUGUUUAACUUAUGUCUGUACUCAGAUAUUAUUGCUUCCGCUGACUUGUCUAUGAUCGAGCACUUGUAUUCGAGCCCUCGAGGCCCCUGGCUUGUAUUAUGAUGCUUGUAUGACUUAUUUUAUUUUUUAGAGUUGUGUUGUGAUAUCUUCCCGUGAGUCCCUGAUCUUGAUCGUACACGUUUGCGUGUAUGAUUAGUGUAUGAUUAAAUCGGGGGUGUCACAACGUGCCACAUGUCGGCGAAAGGGACUAGAACAUUUAUGAAAGUGAGCACUCUACUCUUAUGAUAGAGGAGUACACGACAUGGUGGCCCAGUGAACUGUUACUUGUACUGUAGUACUACUAUAGUUUUGUUGUUUCGCACGAUCCAUCAAUGCAAACCCGAUGAAACAAGCAAGGGCGGGAUUUCCCCCCCGCAGUAGAUGAUACUAGCCAUACAUUUCAAAGGCAAUUUUAAUGUAUGCAAACUGAAUAAUUAAGUAAUAAUAUGAGAUCUAGUAAAACUAAAAACACAUAUGAUUUAUUAUGUUAGAGUGUAGUAGUAGUGUUGUAUUGCAUAGUUGUUAGAUGUAACAUGCGAGAACAUGUAGAGAUGUACUUUUGGAGGGCCUACAAAGAGAAAUUGGGAAUAAAGUGGAUUCAAAUAUUUGUAUUCGUCUUCAUAGCAUUUGUAACUCAUAUGUACAGUUUGUACAGUAGACGUGAAUGCUUGUUCGGUCUUAUGAAACUAGUGUAGCAAUAAUGGGGUGGUGUGCGCCAAUUGAGGCACUGGCACGUUGGCCUACUCGGCUCCACAGAGAGAGUGAGAGAAGAGAUAAAUACACGGGCAAAGCGAAAAGCAUAAUACGGUCACCGGACUUCAGAAUACACUCAUUACGGUCAUUAUAUACGUUUUGCGGUGAUUAUACGGUUACUUGCUCACCGUUCACCAUCGGAUUGCACUCUGCUAACCGGCUAAAUAGUCUGUGUGGCACUAUGUUGACUAGUUAAAUUGACCAUGUUCCUUGUGUGUCCCACCUAUCAGUUCGCAUAGGAAAAAGGACAGAUAAACGCAAAUUUACGCAGGCGCGACAAGACUCCAACCCGUGCACGGGAACCACCUAGUUGUGUAUGUGUCUCUCAGGGCCUAAUGUGUGCGCAUGCACGUGUAGGUUGAGCACUUGAGUGUGAGAGGGUGUGUUGGUCGUGUGGUGUGUGCAUGCAUGCGUGCGUGUGAGUGUUGCAUGCGUGCGUGGCUAUGUGUACGUGCCAGUGUUGCGUGUGUGCGUGGUUGCGUGUGUUCGCGUGAGUGUUGUGUGCAUGCAGUUCAUGUGCAUGCGUGCGUGUGUGUAUAAUCACCACACCAGCUCUUGUGUGUUAAAACAGAUGACUCAACAUACCAAUACAAGGCCACCUUGUCCAUUGUGCCCGCGGUCAUGACUUUGAAACCGUCCAAUAUUUUUUUAUCGUUUGUUUUCAUUCUUAUACACGCCGACAGGUGGGCCCAAUGGUAGUGAGCUAAUGUGAUGCAACACUAGAGGUGCCACAUCGAGUGUUUAACUAGUCAACUAGUCGUGUCUUCAGCAAAUACAAAGCUGUACGAUGAGCCCGUGACUCUAUAAUAACCAGAAAACCUAAAUGGUGACCGUAAUGAGUGUAUUUUGAAGUCCAAUGUACGUAUCGUGCUUUUGCUUCAAAUACAAUGAUCGUCAUUGUAUAUAUCGCGAGAGAAAUAUGAAACAUGCAUGAAUGUGCUCGUGGCAUACUUUUAGAGGACCUGGAGAUAGUUUGUGUGCGUACGUGAAAGGGGCGUAGAGGGGGUGUACGCGAUAGAGAGAGAUGCUCUUCAUUUCUCUUUAUUAUGAAUAACUUUAUAUAUAGUAUAAAAAUAUAAAAAUUCAUAGUGCGGAAUAAAUAUAAUUGGGGGCACCAUGCAAUGCAAAUUAACGUUCAUACUCCUCCAUAUAACUUUAUAUGUUGUAUAUAUGUAGAAAUUCUAAAAUAAUCUUUUGGCCACACUUUGUGUGGUUUUAUUCAAAAGGAAUGUUGUAUGCGAAAUAAACAUGAAGAGAGGGCUUUUUAGAUCAUUGGGGUACGUGAUGUAACAUGUGUGAAUGUGUAGUUGAUGUAUUUGGCAAGGCCUAGAGAGGUAUGUGUAUGUAUUACGUAUUCGAGAGAGGAAUGGAUAGAGGGGACAACGACGCGGGGGGCGUGGGAGAGAUAGCACGAGAAAUGAGAGGUCUAGAUAGAGAGAGAGAGACGAAUAGGAUGUCAUGGCGAGAGAUGCCCUCGAGUGUGUAUAUCGAAGGGCGGAGGGGAUAGAGGCACGGGGAGAAAAUAUUUUUUGUGGUGUAUUUGUUGGUAUGUGUGGGUGUGAGAAGAUAAUGAGACCUGGGGGCUUAGGGUGUGUCACUGCGUGAGGUCUGAUGGGCCGAGGUGAGGCCCUUGGCUCGGUUCCAUCCUGCGCCACAUUGGUCGGCCCGUGACGCAUUUAGGGAGACCCAUGAAGGACUAGUCAUACAAGACAAAGUUAGCAGAGUCAUGAAGGACUCUGUGUCCACUGACAAAGCCAGCUAGGAUUUGUAACCCUAGGUCCUCGGACUAAGGUAACUCCUUAUCUCUGAUAUUACUAUUCAUCCAACCUAACUUGAAGGGGCAUCCUAAAGAAUGCUAUGCUAGAAUCAUACUCCUCAAUUAGGAAGAGAGGUGGAGAGAAUGGGUGAGAGACAUGCCUAAGGAUAAUAUGUGUGCGGGAGACUCGUAGGCAGGUCUACGUAUAUAGAAAGGGUCGAUGGGGAUUAUGCGUGUGUAUGCUUGUGAGAGGGAGAGUGCUUGUGAUAAAGGUUAGUGAAAAAGUCAUAAAUUGUUACGAGAGUGAGGGAGGGUUAUAUCGAGAGCAUGUCCGCGAGAAAGACACCUCGGGAGAGCGUGUGUGAGAGACCACCGAUGGAUAUACACCGUUUGCGUGUAUGUGUGAGAGAGAAAGUCAGCGUGUGUGUGAGGAGGGGCCUAUGGAGAGUGAAACUACACGUAAAAGACUAAUGUACACAUUGAUUAAAAAUAUAAAUUGUAUCCAAAUAUUAGGAUGAGAUCAUGAUAUUUGCAAUUCGCGUAAGGAACGAUCAUUGAUCCAUCAGACAUCUAUAUUCUAUCGAAUUUGAGCAAGUCUAUGUUAUUAUUCGACAUAAUUGAUCCACAGAGUCAGUAUUUUAAACUCCAGACAAUGCAUAGCUUUAGCAAUCGAAUAUAAACGUGAGUACAGUUCAUGUGUGUGUGUAAAGCACAGUAUACAUAGAAAAGUUACACAAUGAACAUUAUAAAUAGCUAGCUAUGAACUAGCAUACAUUUGAAUUCAACUUAAGGUGGUUUUAAAAAAUCGAGUUCAACAUGAAGUCCAUUAAUUAUGCAUGGCAUUUGUAAAUCAUACGUAAAUUAUGGGGCACCAAUCUUUGCUCUGCCUUUGUACAUAAUAGCAUAUAUUGUUGUGUACAAAAUAGAUUCAAAUUUACCUCCUCCAUUCCCAAAUAAUCAUAGUUAUAGGAUUUUCAAGUGUCAAAAUUUCAAAAAGAAGCGCAUAAUUUAAUGUGAUUUUCAAACAUACAAGGUCAAAUUUAAUGUUGUCUAUUUAGGUCAGUCCUCAAAGUUCAAGAGUACUCCCUCCGUUUUUAUUUAGUCCGCGUAUUAGCUUUGGUAAAAGUCAAGCUUUAUAAACUUUGACCAAGUUUAUAAAAAUUAUAUUAACAUAAGAAAUAACAAAUCAAUAAAAUUAGAUUUAUUAUUGAAGGUACUUUCACACCAUAUAGAUUUGUUAUGAUAAAUAUUUACACUAUUUUUUAUAAACUUGGUCAAACUUUAUGAAAUUUGACUUCAGUCAACUCUAAUAUGCAGAGUAAAUAAAAAUGGAGGGAGUACUCUAGACAUGAAUACUUCUGUUUCAAAAUUUCAAACGAAGCGCCAAAAGAGCCUCUACUCGCCCGAAACCGCGUGAGACCAAUGUUUGGUGGAAGGAAAUUACUUUAAUAACUCUGACCUGUGAAACCUACCGGCCUGACGUCCAAAGGUCUAAACCAGGAUAGGUUUGUAGCUUCAUCUGGACAUCACACAACCGCCUCCGAAAAACAUUCAUACAUAAUGGCUGCCUAAGCACACAUGUGCGCAGCUGAAAUCGCUCCCGCACACUAUUUGGACACCUGGGAUUACCAUCCUACCCACAACCCGCAGUAGGUCCAAAAUUUAAGAGGGGGGCAAAGUUUGUACUUUUCGCGCGUCCCAUCUGUUCGAAAUAACCAAAAACAAGAGCGUCCCAAACCGAAACAUGGUUCUCCCUUAGCUUCCCCCGCCCCCGCCCCUUGUCUGAUUCCUCAUUCGUACACGUGGGCGCCAAAACUACCUCUCCACUAGCCGUGAAAUCCCAGCGUCCUCCGUUCGCCACCCUAUCCCAGCCAUCAACCACCGACCUCCAUCACGCCGGAGCCGAUACCCUGACAUCGUCGUCCACCGCAACUGCAACCGCAACACCCUCCACAGCUAGUUGUUGAAGCCGAGGCCGAGUUGUCCAUACCCGAGCUAGUUCAACUACUGCCGCUCCAACUUUGCCACCGUCCACCGCACCGGAGCUGUUCUCGCUACACCAUCCUUCGGCGCCUCGGAUCUACUUCCCCUCCGUUGACAGACGACCACCGAAACACAGUCAACAAUUUGGCCAUGGGUUCGUCCAAGGCUCGACCCUCCUCCAAAACAUCGGUUUCCCAGGUAAAACAAAUAAAAUCGCCGCGACAUCCAAAGGACCCAGCACUGGCAACCGAAAAUGGUACUCCUCUUCCCUUAUUCGUGCAAAUCUUAUGUGUCUACUUGCAUGGUAUUCAUCCCACAAAAGACACUAGUUGACCACUUCUUCCUCAUACUAGAUGUUCCUAGUAACUCGCGAUGCACAAGGUUUCUCCUCAUAUACUAUUUCACCUUAGCUAGAGGUCUGUCGCCCUGCUGGAUUUCAAUUCUUGGUCAGUUGAUUCCCAAUUAAAGGAAGCAUUCCCUGGCGUAACAGGCGCUAGUCCGCAUAUUAUGCCAGGGAAGCAGCACCUCGGUGUUUAUCUUAGGGGUGUGUGGGGCCUAGAGCUGCUAGCGCCUGAUUUGGAGGUCGGCCGGGAUUAAAGGGAUGAUCGGGGGGGCGCUUCCAAGCACGGCGGUGGUGUGAGGUUUAGGGGAGGGCGGGGCGACGGAGGCAGGGGUCUGGGCCGGUGGUCGCUAGCUAUUCCAGAAAGAUCGUCAAUAGUGACUGGCGGGAGGUAGACGAAGGCCAUCUGCCCGUUCCUUAUAGAUCGGACGGUUCAUAAAAAAAUCGACUGACCUAUUUAUUUCUAGUUGACUGUUAUUUUGAUAGGACCACAUGUGGUGGUGUGCUGGAGGAGUACCUGCAUUUCCUGGCCAUCCCUGUGCUCAUAUAUUACAAAAUCAUAUGGAGUAGAAUCUAAUUUUGUUUGCCAUGCAAUGUUGUAGAGCUAUCAUAUGUCUCCUGCCAUUUAUUUUUCAGUCACCUUCUAUCUGCUACUUUUACAGUGCACUAGUUCUGCACACACUUCACCCAUACUCUCACUAUUGUGUUUUUAUGCAAGGGUAUUUCAGACUCUGCCUUGACAGAAACAGAAAAGAAAAGAGAGAAGUCGCUCCUACUUGCUUCGGGCUUAGGCAAGAUAGGUUUCAACGCUAUAAAGGGUGCAGUGUGAGUAGAUGGAGACGGUAAACGUAGCUUUGGAGUUGAUGAUCUCGCUCGCCCUGAACCACCAUCCCAGGUGCUUGCUUUAACUUCAUGGUGUCAAUGUGGUUGCAUGUUGCAUAUGGUGUCUAGCUUGUAUUCGAAAGGCCGGAGUCGGUCUUUAUUAAGAUAAGGAAAGAUAUUUUUACAUGAACCACCAUCCCGGGAGCAUCAGAAGACAAAUAGCUAGUCAGGGCACUGGCCGAGCCAGUGACAAGCCCAACACAGACAGGCAUCACAUGGAAGCCAACUAAAAAGCCACGAUGGUGGUGAAGCAGCCCGCCUCCCACCAGGCUCUCAGGUCCUAGAUGAUCAUGCUCACCACUCCAGCCGGAUGUCUAUCUUGUAUUGCUUCCAAUUAAGUUAAAUUGCAUAUGCUUAGCUUACACAUUAUACCUUUGAAUAUGACAUGCCUUCCUGUUUUUGGUAGAUACUAGUACAUCUGUCUAUUGACCAUGUUCUUACAUCAAACUAAUGUUUUUGUGUAUCCUCAUCAAUCACUUAUGAUGAUGCAGUCAGGCCAGUGGACUACUACGAGAAAAGAUCAUCAUUUAAAGAAUACAGCGUCAGCCUCCCCACAUGAUUCUCAAGAAACAACAUGGCUAGAUGAAGAUAGUGAACGUAGCUCUGUAGUUGAUUACCGCGCUUCCCCUACACUAGCAUCGCAGGUGCUAGCUCUACCUUGACAGCGUGAUAUGUGGUUGCAUGUUGCAUAUGGUGUCUAGAGUAUAAUUCUUCAAAUCUGGUUAAAUUGCAUGUGCUGUUCUGCUUACUUUAUACAUUAUACCUAUUAAGGUGACAUGCCUUCCUGUUUUUAGUACAUAGUACAUCUGUCUAUUAAGCAUGUCCUUACAUAAAACUAUUGUUUUUUGUAUCCCUCAUCAAUUAAUAUGACGAGACACCUUUAGUAUAUGUAGUGCAAUAUUAGUUGCAUCUUUCAUAUGAUUUAUAGCAUGUGCUGCUUCUAAUUUGUUGAAAUGCCAUUUAUGAUGGGACGAUUUUAACUUGACAGAGUCAUAUUGGUUGCAUCUUUCAUGUGGUGUCUAGCUUGCAUUGCUUCUUAUUUAUUGAAAUGGCUUCUGCUUAGUUUACACAAACAGUUGUGAAUAUGCCAUGACGUCCUAUUUUUCAUACAUAUUCCAUCCUGGUAUCAUGUGUUUGCCUCACAUCCAAGUAGUUAUUGUCAGUAUCAUGCAUGAAUGACUUCUGAAGAGUGAAUUUUAUUGAUUUUUCUUGUCGGUUUUACUUGACAAUUCAAAAUCAAUAAAGCGGAAGGAAAUUAGCAAGGCAGUGGAUAAAGGUGCUCCUUCUAAACAGAGGGCCUCUACAGAUUCUACUCCGCCACCCCCAAGAAGAUUUGGAAGACAACACAUGCAUAGACACUCAAUGUAGCUAUGUUGAUGAUGGGCAUGUCUCCCCUAGUGCACCAUCACAGGUGCUCCCUCUAACUUGGCACUAUUAUAUGUGGUUGCAUGUUAUGUAUGAUGUCUAGCUUGUGUUGCUUCUAAUUUUGUUGAAUUCCAUCUGCUUACUUUACACAUUAUACUAGUGAAUUAGACACGUGUUCCUAUUUCUAAAACAUACAAUAUCUGUCUAUCACACCAUGUUCUUACAUCAAAGCACUACUGUUGUGUAACCUGCAAUAAUCACAUAUCAUAAGACACGUUUGACUUGGGAGUGUGAUAUAGGUUACAUCUCGCAUUCUUUUCUAGCUUGUACUACUUCUAAUUUGUUUAAAUGGCACUUAUGACGAGACAGUUUUAACUUGGUAGAGUGAUAUUUGUUGCAUCUUUCAUAUGGUGUGUAGCUUUCAUUGCUUCUAAUUUGUUGAAAUGCCUUCUGAUUAGUUUACACAUUAUAGCUGUGAAUAUGCAAUGUUGUCCUUUUUCUUACACAUUCAAUCAUCCUAUCAUGUGGUCGCCUUACAUUAAAGUAGUGCUCGUCAGCAUCCUGCAUCAAUGAGUUCCGAAAAGCAAUUUUUUAUUUAUUUUUCUUGUGGGUUUGACUUGACAAGGCAAUGCAAUUAAGAAAAAGGAAGGAAAAAUAAGGCAGGGACUGAUGGCGGUCUUCCGGUGAAACCGGCAUCCAAGGUGAUUCUCUAGCUUGGCAGUGUGAUAUUGUCUUACAUGUUGCAUACGGUGUCUCACUUGUAUUGCAUGUAAUUUGAUUAAAUUACUUCUUCUUAGCUUACAAAAUUAGUUGUGAAUAUGCCAUGUCGUCCUGUUUUUCAUACAUAUUCCAUCCUCAUAUCAUACCUGUUCCUGUUUCUAGAACAUACAAUAUCUGUCUAUCACAGCAUGUUCUUACAUCAAAGUACUACGGCUGUGUAACCUGCAACAAUCACUUUUCACAAGGCACGUUUAACUUGGGAGUCUGAUAUAGUUUACAUCUCGCAUUAUUUUCUAGCUUGUACUACUAAUUUGCUGAAAUGGCACUAAUGACGAGAUAGUCUUAACUUGGUAGAGUGAUAUUCGUUGCAUCUUACAUAUGGUGUAUAGCUUUCAUUGCUUCUAAUUUGUUGAAAUGCCUUCUGCUUAGUUUACACAUCAUAAGCUGUGGAUAUGCAAUGGAACUAAUGACAAGAGUCCUUUAACUUGGUAGUGUGAUGUUGUUUGCAUCUUGCAUAUGAUUUAUUUCUUGUUCUGCUUCACAUUUGUUUAAAUGCCAGUUAUGACGAGACACUGUUAACUUGGCAGAGCGAUAUUUGUAGAAUCUUUCAUAUGGUGUCUACCUUCGAUUGCAUUGCUUCUAAUUUAUUGAAAUGCCUUCUGCUUAGUUUACUCAUCAUAGUUCUGAUUAUCUCAUGAUGUCUUGUUUUUUGUACAUAUUAGAUCCUCCUAUCACAUGGUUGUCUAACAUCAAAGUUCGGUUCGUCUGUAUCACGCAUCAAUUUGUUCUGAAGAACUAAAUUUUUAUUCCUUUUUCUUGUCGGCUUGACUUAACAUGGCAUAGAGAAAGAGGAAGGAAGACGAAAUGACAUGGGAUGGUGUUAGUACUAAGGACACACGGAAAGAGAAGCGGGCGAAUAAUGCAGAUUCUGGUGGUACUGAUGGUGCAAUAGAAGGUCAAAAUCCAGCGAAAAAUUGUACAAACGCGAUAUCCCGUGCUACACGAGUUGCAAAACUAGCUAAACAAAAACAAAUAGCUGCCACCAAACAACGAGAGACGAUCCUAGUUGUUGCAACACCUUCCAUAGUACCACCAGCUGCACGAGUUACUCGUGCGUCAACUGAGCUAGCAGCACGUUCCCAAGCUCCCUUGCCACCUGACACUACUUCCAAAGCACUCUUGACACAAGAUGAGUUGGCAAGAUUAGAUGAACCUUGUGAGCUUCAACAACUAGAAGGUAGUUGUUGGAGUCAAGUUAUAGUUGCAUGCUUCUUUAUAUGUAAUCUCACAGUUUGAUGUACCCUAACACUUCCUAUGUUCGUUGUUGCACUAGCACCUAGGCGCAAGAGGAAACAAACAUCAGGGAUAAUGCUCGAUAGGUUAACUAAAUCUCGAGGAGGAAGAAUGGAGAUCCAUUUUGAGGCAGGUUUAAAAAGGCCACGUGAUGCUACAGAGUCAACCAAGUUAGUAUCAAAGGCAGCGGUUGCCUUUGAAGGAAAUAUGCCCUAGAGGCAAUAAUAAAGUUAUUAUUUAUUUCCUUAUUUCAUGAUAAAUGUUUAUUAUUCAUGCUAGAAUUGUAUUAACCGGAAACAUGAUACAUGUGUGAAUACAUAGACAAACAUAUAGUCACUAGUAUGCCUCUACUUGACUAGCUCAUUAAUCAAAGAUGGUUAUGUUUCCUAACCAUAGACAUGUGUUGUCAUUUGAUUAAUGGGAUCGCAUCAUUAGGAGAAUGAUGUGAUUGACAUGACCCAUUCCGUUAGCCUAGCACUUGAUCGUUUAGUAUGUUGCUAUUGCUUUCUUCAUGACUUAUACAUGUUCCUGUAACUAUGAGAUUAUGCAACUCCCGUUUACCGGAGGAACACUUUGGGUGCUACCAAACGUCACAAUGUAACUGGGUGAUUAUAAAGGAGUACUACAGGUGUCUCCGAAGGUACAUGUUGGGUUGGCGUAUUUCGAGAUUAGGUUUUGUCACUCCGAUUGUCGGAGAGGUAUCUCUGGGCCCUCUCGGUAAUGCACAUCACUAUAAGCCUUGCAAGCAAUGUAGCUAAUGAGUUAGUUACGGAAUGAUGCAUUACGUAACGAGUAAAGAGACUUGCCGGUAACGAGAUUGAACUAAGGUAUUGGAUACCGACGAUCGAAUCUCGGGCAAGUAACAUACCGUUGACAAAGGGAACAAAGUAUGUUGUUAUGCGGUUUGACCGAUAAAGAUCUUCGUAGAAUAUGUAGGAGCCAAUAUGGGCAUCCAGGUUCCGCUAUUGGUUAUUGACCAAGAAUAGUUCUAGUCAUGUCUACAUAGUUCUCGAACCCGUAGGGUCCGCACGCUUAAGGUUUCGAUGACAGUUAUAUUAUGAGUUUAUGAGUUUUGAUGUACCGAAGGAGUUCGGAGUCCCGGAUGAGAUCGGGGACAUGACGAGGAGUCUCGAAAUGGUCGAGACGUAAAGAUCGAUAUAUUGGACGAUUAUAUUCGGUGUUCAGAAAGGUUCCGAGUGAUUCGGGUAUUUUUUGGAGUACCGCAGAGUUACGGGAAUUCGCCGGGGAGUAUAUGGGCCUUAUUGGGCCAUACGGGAAUUGAGGAGAGAGGCCGAAAGGAAGGAGGCGCGCAGCCCCCCUCUGGUCCGAAUUGGACAAGGGGGCAGCCCCCUUUUCCUUCUCCCUCUCCUCCUCUUUUCUUCUCCAACAAGGAAAGGAGGAGUCCUACUCCCGAUGGGAGUAGGACUCCCCCCUUGGCACGCCUCCUCCAUAGGCCGGCCGCCUCCCCCCUUGCUCCUAUAUAUAUGAGGGCAGGGGGCAUCCCAAGGAUACAACAACAAUUGAUCCUUGAGAUCUAUUAGCCGUGUGCGGUGCCCCCCUCCACCAUAGUCCUCCUCGAUAAUAUUGUAGCGGUGCUUAGGCGAAGCCCUGUGACGGUAGAACAUCAAGAUCGUGACCACGCCGUCAUGCUAACGGAACUUUCCCUCGACACUCAGCUGGAUCGGAGUUUGAGGGACGUCAUCGAGCUGAACAUGUGUUAGAACUCGGAGGUGCCAUAGUUUCGGUGCUUGAUCGGUCGGGCCGUGAAGACGUACGACUACAUCAACGGCGUUGUUCUAACGCUUCCGCUUUCGGUCUACAAGGGUAUGUAGAUUACACUCUCCCCUCUCAUUGCUAUGCAUCACCAUGAUCUUGCGUGUACGUAGGAAUUUUUUUGAAAUUACUGCGUUCCCCAACAGUGGCAUCCGAGCCAGGUUUUAUGCGUUGAUGUUAUAUGCACGAGUAGAACACAAGUGAGUUAUGGGCGAUACAAGUCAUACUGCUUACCAGCAUGUCAUACUUUGGUUCGGCGGUAUUGUGAGAUGAAGCGUCCCGGACCGACAUUACGCGUACGCUUAUGCGAGACUGGUUUCACUGUUACGAGCACUUGUGCUUAAAGGUGGAUGGCGGGUGUCUGUCUCUCUCACUUUAGCUGAAUCAAGUGUGGCUACGCCCGAUCCUUGCGAAGGUUAAAACAACACUAACUUGACGAACUAUCGUUGUGGUUUUGAUGCGUAGGUAAGAACGGUUCUUGCUAAGCCCGUAGCAGCCCCGUAAAAUUUGCAGCAACAAAGUAGAGGACGUCUAACUUGUUUUUGCAGGGCAUGUUGUGAUGUGAUAUGGUCAAGACGUGAUGCUAUAUUUUAUUGUAUGAGAUGAUCAUGUUUUGUAACCGAAGUUAUCGGCAACUGGCAGGAACCAUAUGGUUGUCGCUUUAUUGUAUGAAAUGCAAAUGCCCUGUAAUUGCUUUACUUUAUCACUAAGCGGUAGCGAUAGUCGUAGAAGCAAUAGAUGGCGUAACGACAACGAUGCUACGAUGGAGAUCAAGGUGUCGCGCCGGUGACGAUGGUGAUCACGACGGUGCUUCGAAGAUGGAGAUCACAAGCACAAGAUGAUGAUGGCCAUAUCAUAUCACUUAUAUUGAUUGCAUGUGAUGUUUAUCCUUUAUGCAUCUUAUCUUGCUUUGAUUGACGAUAGCAUUAUAAGAUGAUCUCUCACUAAUUAUCAAUAAGUGUUCUCCCUGAGUAUGCACCGUUGGGAAAGUUCUUCGUGCUGAGACACCACGUGAUGAUCGGGUGUGAUAGGCUCUAUGUUCAAAUACAACGGGUGCAAAACAGUUGCACACGCGGAAUACUCAGGUUAAACUUGACGAGCCUAGCAUAUACAGAUAUGGCCUCGGAACACGGAGACCGAAAGGUCGAGCGUGAAUCAUAUAGUAGAUAUGAUCAACAUAUUGAUGUUCACCAUUGAAACUACUCCAUCUCACGUGAUUAUCGGACAUGGUGUAGUUGAUAUGGAUCACGUAAUCACUUAGAGGAUUAGAGGGAUGUCUAUCUAAGUGGGAGUUCUUAAGUAAUAUGAUUAAUUGAACUUAAAUUUAUCAUGAACUUAGUCCUGGUAGUAUUUUGCAAAUUAUGUUGUAGAUCAAUAGCUUGCGUUGUUGCUUUCAUAUGUUUAUUUUCAUAUGUUCCUAGAGAAAAUUGUGUUGAAAGAUGUUAGUAGCAAUGAUGCAGAUUGGAUCCGUGAUCUGAGGUUUAUCCUCAUUGCUGCACAGAAGAAUUAUGUCCUUGAUGCACCGCUAGGUGACAAACCUAUUGCAGGAGCAGAUGCAGACAUUAUGAAUGUUUGGCUAGCUCAAAAUGAUGACUACUUGAUAGUUUAGUGCACCAUGCUUAAAUGGCUUAGAAUCGGGACUUCAAAGACGUUUUGAACAUCAUGGACCAUAUGAGAUGUUCCAGGAGUUGAAGUUAAUAUUUCAAGCAAAUAUCCGAGUUGAGAGAUAUGAAGUCUCCAACAAGUUCUAUAGCUAAAAGAUGGAGGAGAAUCGCUCAACUAGUGAGCAUGUGCUCAGAUUGUCUGGGUACUACAAUCGCUUGAAUCAAGUGGGAGUUAAUCUUCCAGAUAAAAUAGUGAUCGACAGAAUUCUCUAGUCACCACCACCAAGUUUGUAGAACUUUGUGAUGAACUAUAGUAUGCAAGGGAUGACGAAAACGAUUCCCGAUCUCUUCGUGAUGUUGAAAUCGACGAAGGUAGAAAUCAAGAAAGAGCAUCAAGUGUUGAUGGUUGACAAGAUCACUAGUUUCAAGAAAAGGGCAAAGGGAAAGAAAGGGAACUUCAAGUAGAAUGGCAAGCAAGUUGUCACUCCCACGAAGAAGCCCAAAGCUGAACCAAAGCCUGAAACUGAGUGCUUACACUGCAAAGGAAAUGGUCACUGGAAGCGGAAAUGCCCUGAAUAUUUGGUGGAUAAGAAGGAUGGCAAAGUGAACAAGGGUAUAUUUGAUAUACAUGUUAUUGAUGUGUGCCUUACUAGUGUUUAUAGUAGCCCUUGAGUAUUUGAUACUUGUUCAAUUGCUAAGAUUAGUAACUCGAAACAGGAGUUACAGAAUAGACAGAGACUAGUUGAAGGGUGGAGUGAUGAUGAGUGUUGGAAGUAGUUCCAAGAUUGAUAUGAUCAUCAUCGCACACUCCCUAUACUUUCGGGAUUAGUGUUAAACCUAAAUAAAUGUUAUUUGGCAUUUGCAUUGAGCAUGAAUAUGAUUUGAUCAUGUUUAUUGCGAUACGAUUAUUCAUUUAAAGUUAGAGAAUAAAUUGUUAUUCUGUUUACAUGAAUAAGACCUUUGAAGGUCAUACACCCAAUGAACAUAGUUUGUUGGAUCCCGAUCGUAGUGAUACACAUAUUCAUAAUAUUAAUGCCAAAAGAUGAAAAGUUAAUAAUGAUAGUGCAACUUAUUUGUGGCACUGCCGUUUGGGUCAUAUCGGUGUAAAGUGCAUGAAGAAACUCCAUAAAGAUGGAUUUUCGGAAUCACUUGAUUAUGAAUCAUUUGAUGCUUGCGAACCGUGCCUUUUGGGCAAGAUGACUAAAACUCCGUUCUCCGGAACAAUUGAACGAGCUAGUGACUUAUUGGAAAUAAUACAUACCGAUGUAUACGGUCCAAUGAGUGUUGAUGCUCGUGGCGGGUAUCAUUAUUUUUUGAUCUUCACAAAAUGAAUUGAGCAGAUAUGAGUAUAUCUACUUAAUGAAGCACAAGUCUGAAACAUUUGAAAAGUUCAAAGAAUUUCAGAGUGAAGUGGAGAAUCAUCGUAACAAGAAAAUUAAGUUUCUGCAAUUUGAUCGCGGAGACAAAUAUUUGAGUUACGAGUUUGGUCUUCAAUUAAAACAAUGUGGAAUAGUUUCACAAACUCAUGCCACCUGGAACACCACAGCUUAAUGGUGUGUCCGAACGUCAUAACAAGUACUUUAUUGGAUAUAGUGCAAUCUAUGAUGUCUCUUACCGAUUUACCACUAUCGUUUUGGGGUUAUGCAUUAGAAACAACUGCAUUCAUGUUUAAUAGGGCACCAUCUAAAUCCGUUGAUACGACACGGUAUGAACUAUGGUUUAGCAGUAAACCUAAGUUGUCGUUUCUUAAAGUUUGGAGUUGCGAUGCUUAUGUGAAAAAGUUUCAACCUGAUAAGCUCGAACCCAAAUCGGAGAAGUGCGUCUUCAUAGAAUACCCAAAGGAAACUGUUGGGUACACCUUCUAUCACAGAUCCGAAGGCAAAUUAUUCGUUGCUAAGAUGGAUCCUUUCUAGAGAAGAAGUUUCUCUCGAAAUAAGUGAGUGGGGGGAAAGUAGAACUUGAUGAGGUAAUUGUACCUUCUCUCUUAUUGGAAAGUAGUUCAUCACAGAAAUCAGUUCCAGUGAUUCCUACACCAAUUAGUGAGGAAGUUAAUGAUGAUGAUCAUGAAACUUCAGAUCAAGUUGCUACCAAACCUCGUAGGUCUUCCAGAGUAAGAUCCGCACCAGAGUGGUACGGUGAUAAUGUUCUGGAAGUCAUGUUACUAGACCAUGAUGAACCUACGAACUAUGAGGAAGCGAUGAUGAGCCCAGAUUCCGCAAAAUGGCUUGAGGCCAUGAGAUCUGAGAUAAGAUCCAUGUAUGAAAACAAAGUAUGGACUUUGAUUGACUUGUCCAAUGAUCGGCGAGACAUUGAGAUUAAAUGGAUCUUCAAGAGGAAGACGGGCGCUGAUAGUGUUACUAUCUACAAAGCUAGAAUUGUCACAAAAGGUUUUCGACAAGUUCAAGGUGUUGACUACGAUGAGAGUUUUUCACUCGUAUCUAUGCUUAAGUCUAUCUGAAUCAUGUUAGCAAUUGCCGCAUUUUAUGAAAUCUGGCAAAUGGAUAAACAAAACUGCAUUCCUUAAUGGUUUUCUUAAAGAAGAGUUGUAUAUGAUGCAACCAGAAGGUUUUGUCAAUCCUAAAGGUGCUAACAAAUUGUGCAAGCUCCAGCGAUCCAUCUAUGGACUGGUGCAAGCAUCUUGGAGUUGGAAUAUAUGCUUUGAUGAGUUGAUCAAAGCAUAUGGUUUUAUACAGACUUUUGAAGAAGCCUGUAUUUACAAGAAAGUGAGUGGGAGCGCUGUAGCAUUUCUAAUAUUAUAUGUGGAUGACAUAUUGUUAAUUGGAAAUGAUAUGGAAAUUCUGGAUAGCAUGAAAGGAUACUUGAAUAAGAGUUUUUCAAAGCAAGACCUCGGUGAAGCUGCUUACACAUUGAGCAUCAAGAUCUAUAUAGAUAGAUCAAGACGCUUGAUAAGAUUUUUCAAUGAGUACAUACCUUGAUAAAUUUUUGAAAUAGUUCAAAAUGGAAUAGUCAAAGAAAGGAGUUCUCGCCUGUGUUACAAGGUGUGAAGUUGAGUAAGACUCAAGACCCGACCAUUGCAGAAAAUAGAAAGAGAAUGAAAAGUCAUUCCCUAUGCCUCAGUCAUAGGUUCUAUAAAGUAUGCUAUGCUGUGAAUAGACCUAUUGUAUACCUUGCUCUGUGUUUGGCAAAGGAAUACAAUUUUGAUCUAAUAAGUAGAUCACUGGACAUGGGUCAAGAAUAUCCUUAGUGAGGACUAAGGAGAUGUUUCUCGAUUAUGGAGGUGAUAAAAGAGCCCGUCGUAAAAGUUACAACGAUGCAAGCUUUUACACCAAUCCAGAUGACUCUAAGUCUCAAUCUGGAUACAUAUUAAAAGUGGGAGCAAUUAGCUAGAGUAGCUCCGUGCAGAGCAUUGUGGACAUAGAAUAUUUGCGAAAUACAUACGACUCUGAAUAUGACAGACCCGUUGACUAAGCUUCUCUCAUGAGCAAAACAUGAUCAUACCUUAGUACUCUUCUGGGUGUUAAUCACAUAGCGAUGUGAACUAGAUUAUUGACUCUAGUAAACCCUUUGGGUGUUGAUCACAUGAUGAUGUGAACUAUGGGUAUUAAUCACAUGCAGAUGUGAAUAUUGGUGUUAAAUCACAUAGCGAUGUGAACUAGAUUAUUGACUCUAGUGCAAGUGGGAGACUGAAGGAAAUAUGCCCUAGAGGCAAUAAUAAAGUUAUUAUUUAUUUCCUUAUUUCAUGAUAAAUGUUUAUUAUUCAUGCUAGAAUUGUAUUAACCGGAAACAUGAUACAUGUGUGAAUACAUAGACAAACAUAUAGUCACUAGUAUGCCUCUACUUGACUAGCUCAUUAAUCAAAGAUGGUUAUGUUUCCUAACCAUAGACAUGUGUUGUCAUUUGAUUAAUGGGAUCGCAUCAUUAGGAGAAUGAUGUGAUUGACAUGACCCAUUCUGUUAGCCUAGCACUUGAUCAUUUAGUAUGUUGCUAUUGCUUUCUUCAUGACUUAUACAUGUUCCUGUAACUAUGAGAUUAUGCAACUCCCAUUUACCGGAGGAACACUUUGGGUGCUACCAAACGUCACAACGUAACUGGGUGAUUAUAAAGGAGUACUACAGGUGUCUCCGAAGGUACAUGUUGGGUUGGCGUAUUUCGAGAUUAGGUUUUGUCACUCCGAUUGUCGGAGAGGUAUCUCUGGGCCCUCUCGGUAAUGCACAUCACUAUAAGCCUUGCAAGCAAUGUAGCUAAUGAGUUAGUUACAGAAUGAUGCAUUACGUAACGAGUAAAGAGACUUGCCGGUAACGAGAUUGAACUAAGGUAUUGGAUACCGACGAUCGAAUCUCGGGCAAGUAACAUACCGAUGACAAAGGGAACAAAGUAUGUUGUUAUGCGGUUUGACCGAUAAAGAUCUUCGUAGAAUAUGUAGGAGCCAAUAUGGGCAUCCAGGUUCUGCUAUUGGUUAUUGACCAAGAAUAGUUCUAGGUCAUGUCUACAUAGUUCUUGAACCCGUAGGGUCCGCACGCUUAAGGUUUCGAUGACAGUUAUAUUAUGAGUUUAUGAGUUUUGAUGUACCGAAGGAGUUCGGAGUCCCGGAUGAGAUCGGGGACAUGACGAGGAGUCUCGAAAUGGUCGAGACGUAAAGAUCGAUAUAUUGGACGACUAUAUUCGGAGUUCAGAAAGAUUUCGAGUGAUUCGGGCAUUUUUCGAAGUACCGGAGAGUUACGGGAAUUCGCCGGGGAGUAUAUGGGCCUUAUUGGGCCAUACGGGAAUUGAGGAGAGAGGCCAAAAGGAAGGAGGCGUGCAGCCCCCCUCUGGUCCGAAUUGGACAAGGGGGGCAGCCCCCUUUUCCUUCUCCCUCUCCUCCUCUUUUCUUCUCCAACAAGGAAAGGAGGAGUCCUACUCCCGGUGGGAGUAGGACUCCCCCCUUGGCACGCCUCCUCCGUAGGCCGGCCGCCUCCCCUCUUGCUCCUAUAUAUAUGAGGGCAGGGGGCACCCCAAGGAUACAACAACAAUUGAUCCUUGAGAUCUAUUAGCCGUGUGCGGUGCCCCCCUCCACCAUAGUCCUCCUCGAUAAUAUUAUAGCGGUGCUUAGGCGAAGCCCUGCGACGGUAGAACAUCAAGAUCGUCACCACGCCGUCGUGCUGACGAAACUCUCCCUCGACACUCGGCUGGAUCGGAGUUUGAGGGACGUCAUCGAGCUGAACGUGUGCUAGAACUCGGAGGUGCCGUAGUUUCGGUGCUUGAUCGGUCGGGCCGUGAAGAUGUACGACUACAUCAACCGCGUUGUUCUAACGCUUCCGCUUUCGGUCUACAAGGGUAUGUAGAUUACACUCUCCCCUCUCAUUGCUAUGCAUCACCAUGAUCUUGCGUGUACGUAGGAUUUUUUUUUGAAAUUACUGCGUUCCCCAACAGCCUUAGGUGUCAUGCACGUAUCCUCCCAACAUGGAUUCAGUACAGGAAUGACAAAGACGAAACCCAUUUCAACACCUUCCUCGACCAUUUAUCUGUAAGUAUGGUUAUUGUGACGCCCCUGAUUCAAUCGUACACUAAUCAUGCACACAAAUGUGUACGGUCUAGAUCAGGGACUAACGGGCAGAUAUCACAACACAACUCUAAAAGUACAGUAAGUCAUACAAGCAUCAUAUACAAGCCAGGGGCCUCGAUGGCUCGAAUACAAGUGCUCAAACAUAAAUGAGUCAGCGUAAGCAUCAGUAUCUGAGUACACACAUAAGUUAAACAAGUUGCCAUUAGAUGGCUAGCACAAACUGGGAUACAGGUCGAAAGAGGCGCAAGCCUCCUGCCUGGGAUCCUCCUAAACUACUCCUGGUCGUCGUUAGCGGCCUACACGUAGAAGUAGGCACCUCCAGUGUAGUAGGAGUCGUCGUCGACGGUGGCGUCUGGCUCCUGGGAUCCAACGUCUGGUUGCGGCAUCUGAGAAGAAGAGGGAAAAGGGGGAAAAGAGGGAGCAAAGUAACCGUGAGUACUCAUCCAAAGUACUCGCAAGCAAGGAUCUACACUACAUAUGCAUGGGUAUAUGUGUAAAGAGGCAAUAUCGGUGGACUGAACUGCAGAAUGCCAGAAUAAGAGGGGGAUAGCUAGUCCUAUCAAAUACUAUGCUUCUGGCAGCCUCCAUCUUGCAGCAUGUAGAAGAGAGUAGAUUGAAGUCCACCAGGUAUCAUUGCAUAGCAUAAUCCUACCCGGCGAUCCUCCCCUUGUCGCCCUGUGGGAAAGCGAUCACUAGAUUGUCUCUGGAACUUGUGUGGGUGUGUUUUAUUAAGUAUCCAGUUCUAGUUGUCAUAAGGUCAAGGUACAACUCCGGGUUGUCCUUUUACCGAGGGACAUGGCUAUUCGAAUAGAUAAACUUCCCUGCAGGGGUGCACCACAUUUCCCAACAUGCUCGAUCCCUCUGGCCGGACACACUUUCCUGGGUCAUGCCCGGCCUCAGAAGAUCAACACGUCACAACCCAACCUAGGCACAACAGAGAGGUCAGCACGCCGGUCUAAAUCCUAUGCGUGCAGGGGUCUGGGCCCAUCGCCCAUUGCACACUUGCAUGUUGCGAGGGCGGCCGGAAGCAGACCUAGCCUCCCUAAUACAAGAGCAGGCGUUCCAGUCCAAUAUGGCGUGCGCCACUCAGUCGCUGACGUCAAGAAGGCUUCAGCUGAUACCAUGACGUCGAGUGCCCAUAACUGUUCCCGCAAAGUUCGUUAGUGCAUAUAGGCCAGUGGCCAGACUCAGAUCAAAUACCAGGAUCUCGUUAAGCGUGUUAUUUUGAAGUAACCGCGGACACCGGCCAGGGCCAGGCCCACCUCUCACCUAGGUGGUCUCAACCUGCCUUGUCGCUCCGCCACAAAGAUCCGCACAGAGGGCCGUCGGGACAAAUGUCCUUUCAGCCCCCAAUCCGUGAAUCACUCGCGGGUACUCUACGAGCCGACCCGACUUUAGUCACCAUAUGUAUAGUAUGUAUGUAUGUAUAGUAUAAACCCGUGAUCACGACCCGAUAGUAUAGCAAGGCAGACGGACAAAAAUGUAGGGCCACAGAUGAUAAACUAGCAUCCUAUACUAAGCAUUUAGGAUUGCAGGUAAGGUACCAACAAGUGUAGCAACAAUUACAGGCUAUGCAAUAGAAUAGGAUUAACCGAACAGUAACAUGCUACACUACUCUAAUGCAAGCAGUAGAGGGAACAAUAGGCGAUAUUUGGUGAUCAAGGGGGGGCUUGCAUGGUUGCUCUGGCAAGAGGGAGGGGUCGUCAACUCCGUAGUCGAACGGGGCAGCAGCAACGUCGGUCUCGUAGUCUACCGAAGAGAAGAGGGGGAAGAAACAAUAAAUAUAAUGCAAACAUAAGCAUGACGAUGCAAAACAUGACAAUGAGCGGUGCUAGGUGUGCCCUAACGCGAUAGAAGGUGAUACCGGUGAAGGGGGGAAACAUCCAGGAAAGUAUCCCCGGUGUUUCGCAUUUUCGGACAGAUGAACCGGAGGUGAAAUCUUGCAUGUUCGCUAUGCUAGGGACGUGUGGUUGAUACGUCUCCAACGUAUCUAUAAUUUUUGAUUGCUCCAUGCUACUUUAUCUACUGUUUUGGACUAUAUUGGGCUUUAUUUUCCACUGUUAUAUUAUUUUUGGGACUAACCUAUUAACCGGAGGCCCAGCCCAGAAUUGCUGUUUUUUGCCUAUUUCAGUGUUUCGAAGAAACGGUAUAUCAAACGGAGUCCAAACGGAAUGAAACCUUUGGGAAUGUGAUUUUCUCACCGAAUGUGAUCCAGGAGACUUGACCCUACUCCAAGAAGUGCCAGAGGCGGUCACGAGGGUGGAGGGCGCCCCCUGGGCGCGCCCCCUACCUUGUGGGCCCCCUGACGCUCCACCGACGUACUCCUUCCUCCUAUAUAUACCUACGUAUCCCCGAACGAUCAGAACAGGAGCCAAAAACCUAAUUCCACUGCCGCAACCUUCUGUAUCCACGAGAUCCCAUCUUGGGGCCUGUUCCGGAGCUCCGCCGGAGGGGGCAUCCACCAUAGAGGGCUUCUACAUCAACACCAUAGCCCCUCCGAUGAAGUGCGAGUAGUUUACUUCAGACCUUCGGGUCCAUAGCUAGUAGCUAGAUGGCUUCUUCUCUCCUUUUGGAUCUCAAUACAAUGUUCUCCCCCUCUCUCAUGGAGAUCUAUUCGAUGUAAUCUUCUUUUUGCGGUGUGUUUGUUGAGACCGAUGAAUUGUGGGUUUAUGAUCCAGUAUUAUCUAUGGAAAAUAUUUGAUUCUUCUCUGAAUUCUUUUAUGUAUGAUUGAGUUAUCUUUGCAAGUCUCUUCGAAUUAUCCUUUUUGGUUUAGCCAACUAGAUUGGUAGUUCUUGCAAUGGGAGAAGUGCUUAGCUUUAGGUUCAAUCUUGCAGUGUCCUUACCCAGUGACAGAAAGGGUUGCAAGGCACGUAUUGUAUUGUUGCCAUCAAGGAUAACAAGAUGGGGUUUUUAUCAUAUUGCAUGAAUUUAUCCCUCUACAUCAUGGCAUCUUGCUUAAGGCGUUACUCUGUUUUUAACUUAAUACUCUAGAUUCAUGCUAGAUAGCGGUCAAUGAGUGGAGUAAUAGUAGUAGAUGCAGAAUCGUUUCGAUCUACUUGUCUUGGACGUGAUGCCUAUAUACAUAAUCAUUGCCUAGAUAUGCUCAUAACUAUGCUCAAUUCUGUCAAUUGCUCAACAAUAAUUUGUUCACCCACCGUAGAAUACUUAUGCUCUUGAGAGAAGCCACUAGUGAAACCUAUGGCCCCCGGGUCUAUUCUCAUCAUAUCAAUCUCUAUCGCUUUAUUUACUUGCUUUGUUUUUACUUUGCCUUUUACUUUUUGCUUUGCAUCUAUCUAUCAAAAAUACCAAAAAUAUUAUUUAUCAUCUCUAUCAGAUCUCACUCUCGUAAGUGACCGUGAAGGGAUUGACAACCCCUAAUCGCGUUGGUUGCGAGUUGCUAUCGUUUUGUGUAGGUACGAGGAAUUUGUGCGUGGUCUCCUACUGGAUUGAUACCUUGGUUCUCAAAAACUGAGGGAAAUACUUACGCUACUUUGCUGCAUCAUCCUCUCCUCUUCGGGGAAAUCCAACGCAGUGCUCAAGAGGUAGCAAGAAGAAUUUCUGGCGCCGUUGCCGGGGAGGCUCACGCAAGCAAGUCAACCAUACCAAGUAGCCAUCGCAAUCCCUAUCUCUCGCAUUACAUUAUUUGCCAUUUGCCUCUCGUUUUCCUCUCCCCCACUUCACCCUUGCCAUUUUAUUCGCCCUCUCUUUCCCAAUCUCCUCUCUUUCCCGUUUGCCUUUUUCCCGUUGCCUUUCUGUUUGCUUGUGCGUUGGAUUACUUGUUGCCAUGGCACAAGACAAUACCAAAUUGUGUGAUUUCUCAAAUACCAAUAAUAAUGAUUUCCUUAGUACUCCGAUUGAUCCUCUUAAUAAUGAUGAGUCUUGUGAAAUCAAUACUGCUUUGCUGAAUCUUGUUAUGAAAGAUCAAUUCGCCGGCCUUCCUAGUGAAGAUGCCGCUACUCAUCUAAACAAUUUUGUUGAUUUGUGUGAUAUGCGAAAGAAGAAAUAUACGUAUAACAAUAUUGUCAAAUUGAAGUUAUUUCCGUUUCACUUAGAGAUCGUGCUAAAGUUUGGUUUUCAUCUUUACCUAAAAAUAGUAUUGAUUCUUGGAACAAGUGCAAAGAUGCUUUUAUCUAUAAGUAUUUUCCUCCCGCUAAGAUUAUCACUCUUCGGAACGAUAUCAUGAAUUUUAAACAACUUGAUCAUGAGCAUGUUGCCCAAUCUUGGGAAAGAAUGAAAUUAAUGCUUCGCAAUUACCCUACUCAUGGUUUGAAUUUAUGGAUGAUCAUACAAAAUUUUUAUGCCGGAUUGAAUUUUGCUUCUAGAAAUCUUUUAGAUUUGGCCGUGGGAGGCACGUUUAUGGAAAUUAAGUUAGGAGAUGCUACAAAAUUGCUUGAUAAUAUUAUGGCUAAUUAUUCUCAAUGGCACACCAAAAGAUCUUCUAGUAAAAAAGUGCAUGCUAUAGAAGAAAUCAAUGUUUUGAGUGAAAAGAUGGAUGAACUUAUGAAGAUGUUUGCUCCUAAAAAUACUCCUCUUGAUCCCAAUGAUAUGACUUUGUCUACUUUGCUUGAGAAUAAUAAUGAAUCUAUGGAUGUGAAUUUUGUUGGUAGGAAUUGUUUUGGAAACAACGCGUAUAGAGGGAAUUUUAAUCCUAGGCCUUAUCCUAGUAAUCCUUCUAAUAAUUAUGGAAAUUCCUACAACAACUCUUAUGGAAAUUUUAAUAAGAUGCCCUCUGAAUUUGAGAGUAGUGUUAAAGAGUUUAUGAAUUCACAAAAAAAAAUUAAUGCUUUGCUUAAAGAGAAAUUGCUUAAAGUUGAUGAUUUGGCUAGGAACGUUGAUAGAAUUUCUCUUGAAAUUGAUUCUUUAAAGCUUAGAUCUAUUCCUCCUAAGCAUGAUAUCAAUGAGUCUCUCAAAGCCAUGAGAAUUUCCAUUGAUGAGUGCAAAGAAAGAACCGCUAGGAUGCGUGCUUCCAAAGAUGCCUUUAUUAAAGCGUGUUCUUCCAAUUCCUAUGAAAAUCAAGAUGAAGAUCUAAAAGUUAUUGAUGUGUCCCCCAUUAAAUCCUUGUUUUGCAAUAUGAAUCUUGAUGAAACUGAAGAUUAUCUUCCCUUACCUAGAAGGCGUUUUAAGAAUUCAGAGUUUCUAGAUCUUGAUGAUGAAAUUGAUGAAAGUAGGAUAGAAAGAAAUAAAAACCUAGAUGUUGCUAAACCCACUAUUUUGGAUCUCAAGGAAUUUAAUUAUGAAAAUUGCUCUUUGAUUGGUUGUAUUUCCUUGUUUCAAUCUGUGCUAGAUUCUCCUCAUGCUUAUAGUUAAAAUAAGGUCUUUACCGAACACAUUGUUGAUGCCUUGAUGCAAUCUUAUGAAGAAAAACUUGAGUUGAAAGUUUCUAUCCCUGAAAUCUCUAUGAUGAGUGGGAACCUAGUAUUAAAAUUAAAAUUAAAGGUUAUGAGUUUCAUGCUUUGUGUGAUUUGCGUGCUAGUGUCUCUACUAUUCCCAAAGCUUUAUGUGAUUUGCUAGAUUUCCGCGAUUUUGAUGAUUGCUCUCUAAACUUGCAUCUUGCGGAUUCCACUGUUAAAAAACCUAUGGGAAGAAUUAAUGAUGUUCUUAUUGUUGCAAAUAGGAACUAUGUGCCUGUAGAUUUUAUUGUUCUUGAUAUAGAUUGCAAUCCUUCAUGUCCUAUUAUUCUUGGUAGACAUUUCCUUAGAGCGAUUGGUGCAAUUAUUGAUAUGAAGGAAGGGAAAAUUCGAUUCCAAUUUACCUUAAAUAAGGGCAUGGAACACUUCCCUAGAAAGAAAAUAAAAUUACCGUAUGAAUCUAUCAUGAGAGCCACUUAUGGAUUGCCUACCAAAGAUGGCAAUACCUAGAUCUAUCCUUGCUUUUAUGCCUAGCUAGGGGCGUUAAACGAUAGCGCUUGUUGGGAGGCAACCCAAUUUUAUUUUGUGUUUUUUGUUUUUCUUCUAGUUAGGAAUAAAUAAUCCAUCUAACUUCUGUUUGGAUGUGGUUUUAUCUUUUAAUUAGUGUUUGUGCCAAGUAGAACCUAUAGGAUAACCUACGAUGAUAGUUGAUUUGAUUCUGCUGAAAAACAGAAACUUUGCGCGCACGAAUAUAAUUUUGUUAAAUCAUAGGAACGUGCUUUUGCGUUGAUUCUUUUUUUUGAUGUUCAAUAAACAAAUUGUACAGGACUUCAUAGUUUGGUACAAGUUUUAGAGUUCCAGAAGUUUGCGUUAGUUACAGAUUGCUACAAACUGUUCUGUUUUUGACACAUUCUAUUUUACGUGUGUUGUUUGCUUAUUUUGAUGAAUCUAUGGCUAGUUAAAUAGUUUAUAAUCCAUAGAGAAGUUGUAAUACAGUAGGUUUAACACCAAUAUAAAUAAAGAAUGAGUUCAUUACAGUAUCUUGAAGUAGUCUUUUGUUUUCUUUCUCUAACGGAGCUCACGAGAUUUCUGUUGAGUUUUGUGUUGUGAAGUUUUCAAGUUUUGGGUGAAUUCUUUUGAUGGAUUAUGGAACAAGGAAUGGCAAGAGCCUAAGCUUGGAGAUGCCCAUGGAACCCCCAAGAUAAUCCAAGGACACCAAAAAGUCAAAGCUUGGGGAUGCCCCGGAAGGCAUCCCCUCUUUCGUUCACUUCCAUCGGUAAUUUACUUGGAGCUAUAUUUUUAUUCACCACAUGAUAUGUGUUUUGCUUGGAGCGUCUUGUAUUAUUUGUGUCUUUGCUUGUUAGUUUACCACAAUAAUCCUUUCUGUACACACCUUUUGAGAGAUCCAUACAUGAAUUGGAAAUUGUUAGAAUACUCUAUGUGCUUCACUUAUAUCUUUUGAGCUUGAUAGUUUUGCUCAUAAUACUUCACUUUUAUCUUUUGAGCGUGAUAAUUUUUGCUCUAGUGCUUCACUUAUAUCUUUUAGAGCAUGGUGGUGGAUUUGUUUUAAAUAAACUAUUGAUCUCUCAUGCUUCACUUAGAUUAUUUUGAGAGUCGUUAAUAGCAUGGUAAUUUGCUUAAUAUUAAUAUACUUGGUAUUCAAGAUAUGUGAAACUUUCUUUUGAGUGAAUUGAAUACUAAGAUAAGUUUGAUGCUUGAUAAUUGUUUUGAGAUAUGGUGGUGAUAAUAUCAAAUUCGUGCUAGUUGGGUGAUUAUGAAUUUGAGAAAUACUUGUGUUGAAGUUUGCAAGUCCUGUAGCAUGCACGUAUGGUUAAAGUUGUGUAACAAAUUUGAAACAUGAAGUGUACCUGGGUUGUGCAUCCUUAUGAGUGGCGGUCGGGGACGAGUGAUGGUCUUUUCCUACCAAUCUAUCCCCCUAGGAGCAUGCACGUAGUACUUGAUUUUUGAUGACUUCUAAAUUUUUGCAAUAAGUAUAUGAGUUCUUUUGACUAAUGUUGAGUCCAUGGAUUAUACGCACUCUCACCUUUCCGCCUUUGCUAGCCUCUUCGGUACCGUGCAUUGCCCUUUCUCACCUUGAGAGUUGGUGAAAACUUCACCGGUGCAUCCAAACCCCGUGAUACGAUAUGCUCUAUCACACAUAAACCUCCUUAUAUCUUCCUCAAAACUGCCACCAUACCUACCUAUUAUGGCAUUUCCAUAGCCAUUCCAAGAUAUAUUGCCAUGCAACUUCCAUCAUCAUCAUCAUGACAUACAUUACUUUUGUCAUAUUGCCAUUGCAUGAUCAUGUAGUUGACAUCGUAUUUGUGGCAAAGCCACCAUGCAUUAUUUUUCAUACGUGUCACUCUUGAUUCAUUGCACCAUCCCGGUACACCGCCGGAGGCAUUUAUAUAGAGUCAUAUCUUGUUCUAAGUUUCGAGUUGUAAUCUUUAUGUUGUAAUCAAUAGAAGUGUGAUGAUCAUCAUUUUUAGAGCAUUGCCCAAAUAAAAAAAAUAAAAAAGGGAGAAAGGCCAAAAGAAAAAAAGAAAGGCCCAAAAAAAUAAAAAUAAAAAAAUAAAAAUAAAAAGGGCAAUGCUACCAUCUCUUUGUCCACACUUGUGCUUCAAAGUAGCACCUUGUUCUUCAUGUAGUGAGUCUCAUAUAUUGUGCUUCAAAGUAGCACCUUGUUCCUCAUGUAGUGAGUCUCAUAAGUUGUCUUUUUUAUACUAGUGGGAAUUUUUCAUUAUAGAACAUGGCUUGUAUAUUCCUACGAUGGGCUUCCUCAAAUGCCCUAGGUCUUCGUGAGGAAGCAAGUUGGAUGCACACCCACUAGUUUUCUUUUGUUGAGCAUUCAUAGCUCUAGUGCAUCCGUUGCAUGGCAAUCCCUACUGCUCAUGUUGACAUCAAUUGAUGGGCAUCUCCAUAGCCCGUUGAUUAUCCUUGUCAAUGUGAGACUUUCUCCAUUUUUGUCUUCUCCACACAAUCCCCAUCAUCAUAUUCUAUUCCACCCAUAGUGCUAUAUCCAUGGCUCACGCUCAUGUAUUGCGUGAAGGUUGAAAAAGUUUGAGAUUAUUUAAGUAUGAAACAAUUGCUUGGCUUGUCAUCGGGGGUAUAGAAGUUGGGAACAUCUUUGUGUGACAAAAAUGAAGCAUAGCCUAACUAUAUGAUUUUGUAGGAUGAACUUUCUUUUGCCAUGUUAUUUUGAGAAGACAUGAUUGCUUUGAUUAGUAUGCUUGAAGUAUUAUUAUUUUUGUAUCAAUAUGAACUUUUGUCUUGAAUCUUUUGGAUCUGAAUAUUCAUAGCACAAUUAAGAAGAUUUACAUUGAAAUUAUGCCAAAGUAUCACUCCGCAUCAAAAAUUCUUUUUUAUCAUUUACCUACUCGAGGACGAGCAGGAAUUAAGCUUGGGGAUGCCUGAUACGUCUCCAACGUAUCUAUAAUUUUUGAUUGCUCCAUGGUACUUUAUCUACUAUUUUGGACUAUAUUCGGUUUUAUUUUCCACUUUUAUAUUAUUUUUGGGACUAACCUAUUAACCGGAGGCCCAGCCUAGAAUUGCUGUUUUUCUGCCUAUUUCAGUGUUUCGAAGAAACGGAAUAUCAAACGGAGUCCAAACGGAAUGAAACCUUCGGGAACGUGAUUUUCUCACCGAACAUGAUCCAGGAGACUUGGACCCUACUACAACAAGUGCCAGAGGCGGUCACGAGGGUCGAGGGCGCCCCCCUAGGCAUGCCCCCUACCUCGUGGGCCCCAUGACGCUCCACCGACGUACUCCUUCCUCCUAUAUAUACCUACGUAUCCCCGAAUGAUCAGAACAGGAGCUAAAAACCUAAUUCCACCGCCGCAACCUUCUCUAUCCACGAGAUCCCAUCUUGGGGCCUGUUCCGGAGCUCCGCCGGAGGGGGCAUCCACUACAGAGGGCUUCUACAUCAAGACCAUAGCCCCUCCGAUGAAGUGUGAGUAGUUUACUUCAGACCUUCGGGUCCAUAGCUAGUAUCUAGAUGGCUUCUUCUCUCUUUUUGGAUCUCAAUACAGUGUUCUUCCCCUCUCUCGUGGAGAUCUAUUCGAUGUAAUCUUCUUUUUGCGGUGUGUUUGUUGAGACCGGUGAAUUGUGGGUUUAUGAUCCAGUAUUAUCUAUGGAAAAUAUUUGAUUCUUCUCUGAAUUCUUUUAUGUAUGAUUGAGUUAUAUUUGCAAGUCUCUUCGAAUUAUCCUUUUUGGUUUGGCCAACUAGAUUGGUAGUUCUUGUAAUGGGAGAAGUGCUUAGCUUUGGGUUCAAUCUUGCGGUGUCCUUACCCAGUGACAGAAAGGGUUGCAAGGCACGUAUUGUAUUGUUGCCAUCGAGGAUAACAAGAUGGUUUUUUUAUCAUAUUGCAUGAAUUUAUCCCUCUACAUCAUGUCAUCUUGCUUAAGGCGUUACUCUGUUUUUAACUUAGGGUGUGUUUGGUUGCAUUCAUGGACUGGAAUGGCAUGGGUCCAACCCGUUCUUGGGCCUAAUUCUUGCGUUUAGUUGGCAGAUGGAACGGUCACCACCUGGUUCCCAUGAACCGAAUAUUCGGCCCAGAUCCGGAACCGGGUGAGACCUCCAAAUUGGGCGGACGACGCGGAACCAGUCUCUUUCCUCGCACUCCUGCAGCCUUAUCCUCUCUCUUGCGGGCUCCUCUCCCUCGUCUCUCCCCUCCACCGAUCUACGCCGUCGGGCUCUCCUCUCUACUGGUCUGCGCCGCCGGCCCUUGUCAUCUCGACCACCUCUGAAGCACAUCCACCCUCUCCUCUGAAGCACGUGCGCGACAGGCGAGCGGCUGCGAGAAGAUCUUGAAGCUGGGCAACAACGGCGGCACACACCGGGAGGGUUGCGCUGCCCCGCUUGAUCCAGGCACCGUCCGUUGACCGCCUGAGCAAGCACCGCCAGAAGCUGCGGUUGCGCGGGGGACGCCAAAGCCAAGCCUCGCAUCCAGCCGGCCGCCAUGCUCAACUGUCGUAUAUUUCUUCUAGCUGCUGUUCAUCUUGUGCUUUGAGUCCGAUUGGUGUAGCUACACUAUUGUUCGUCGCAUGGAUGGAUGGAUUCGAUUCGUUGCUGGUCAAACAAAAAUUGCUUGAGUCUGAUUUAUUGAUGACCACACCCUUGUUCAGAAAUCAAACUCAAUGUUUAGAGAGCUUUGUUGCAUGGAUGGAUGGAUGACCACUUACAAAUCUAUUCCAUUCCAUUCUUCAAACCAAACACCAAAACGUAAUCGUUCCAUUCCUUAGAUUUAUCCAUACCAAACAUAAGGACGGAACUGACCCAUUACAUUGGAAUGAAACCAUGCCAUUCCAUUACACUUCGCUCCCAAACCAAACACACCCUUAAUACUCUAGAUGCAUGCUGGAUAGCGGUCGAUGAGUGGAGUAAUAGUAGUAGAUGCAGAAUCGUUUCGAUCUACUUGUCUUGGACGUGAUGCCUAUAUACAUGAUCAUUGCCUAGAUAUGCUCAUAACUAUGCUCAAUUCUGUCAAUUGCUCAAUAGUAAUUUGUUCACCCACCGUAGAAUACUUAUGUUCUUGAGAGAAGCCACUAGUGAAACCUAUGACCCCCGGUCUAUUCUCAUCAUAUCAAUCUCUAUCACUUUAUUUACUUGCUUUGUUUUUACUUUGCCUUUUACUUUUUACUUUGCAUCUAUCUAUCAAAAAUACCAAAAAUAUUAUUUAUCAUCUCUAUCAGAUCUCACUCUCGUAAGUGACCGUGAAGGGAUUGGCAACCCCUAAUCGCGUUGGUUGCGAGUUGCUAUCGCUUUGUGUAGGUACGAGGGAUUUGUGCGUGGUCUCCUACUGGAUUGAUACCUUGGUUCUCAAAAACUGACAGAAAUACUUACGCUACUUUGCUGCAUCAUCCUCUGCUUUUCGGGGAAAUCCAACGCAGUGCUCAAGAGGUAGCAGUGGCCCGACGAACGGGAUGCAUAUUCGGAUUCAUCUCGUUGUUAUGAGAAACUUCCAUGUACAUAGUAUUUCGAUCCGAGCUACGAUUUAUUUUCUAUGAUUUUCUAAAGUUUUAAAGUUUUUCUAAAAUUACUAGAUUUAUUAUUAAAUCGAAUUAAAAACAGAAUAUACAUUUUAUACUCAGCAGGGGCUAGCCACAGUGAAUACAUGUGGGGCCAGGGGGCUGGGUUGACCCAGUCAACUAGUCCAGUCAUAGUUGACUGGUCAACCUGGGUAGCAGGGCCCAGGUGUCAUGGACACAUGCCAAUUAACAUUUUUUAAACACAGGUAUUUAAUCUAAUUAACUUGUGGGGUUCCUGUGGUCAGUGUCACAGGAGGAAUUCUUUUAGUUAAUUGACGCGGGCCCACAUGUCAGUGGAGGGGGUUAGCAGAGGGUUAGGCCCCCUAAUUAAACCAGUCGGCCACCCAGGUCAGGCACGCACGCGCGCUGUGCACGGUGGCCGGGCGCCACGAGAUGCGACGGGGGCGGUUGGCGGUGGUAGCAGCCGCGGCUCAGGCCAACGCGCGAGGCGCAUGGGGCGGGCAGGACGAGCGGGAGCGGCAGCCGGUGGAUGAGCACGCGUGAGGCGCGGGAGGAGGGCGCCCGAGCAGGUGCAGGCGGCGGAGCUCGCGGCCAGCAACAACGUCAGCAAGCAGCGGGCAGCAGCAGCAGGGGGAGGCGGAGCAGGGGCUACGGCGCACGGGCGCUAGGGCGGCGGCGCCAAGGCCGCGACCAAGGGCGCGGUCGGCGACUGCGGGGUGCCGGCGGAGCGUGGUCAGCAGGCAAGCGGCGGCGGCUACAGGCGACGCGGGCGCGAGCGGGCCUGGUGGGGAGGCCCAGGGCGAAGCGGCAGGCGGCGGGGCAAGGACGUGGUCGGCGAAAGGGGCCAGGCGCCUGCGGCGCGAGGCAGGGCGGGCGGCGUAGGCGCGCGAAGCCAGCGGUGGCUGCAGCAGUCAACGACAGCAGCAGGCGGGGAGGGAAACGGCAGAGUAGCAGCAGGGGGAAUCGAGGGAGGAGGCUCAUGAGGCUGUUGUAGGAUGUGGCAGCGGGCUCGGCAAGGUCGGAAGACGUCGGAGUAGCGGAUCCGCGGCCGGUCAGUGAGGCGGACGAGGGCGUGGGCGAAUGCGAUGGUGAUGGCGACGGCGUAGCGGCGCCUCCGCUCGAAUUGAAGCAGGGAGAGGACGAGGUCGACCGCGGCGGUCCUCCUGGCCAGCUCGCAGCAGAUCGGGGAGGCCCCGGAGCACGACAAUGACGGCGGCUGCAUUGGCUCCGUUCGGUGGAGCUCGAGGGAAGAGAACAAGCAGUUGAGAGAGGUAGGAGAGACUUGGGUUUCGCCAGGGGAUCAGGGUGGGGCACUUAUCCCUGCCUGGCGGCCUGUAGCGUCUCGGUGGCGCCAAUCCAGCCGGUGAGCACGAUCUGAACCAUGCGCACAUUGGCACGCAAGGAGAGAGGAGGGAGACGAUGUUGACUCAGGCUGGGCCUCACUGUGGCAGUUUCUGGGCCAAAUGCAUAGCGUAGUCCUUUCGGCAUUUUCUGUUUUUUUUGUUUCCUAAAUUUCUUCUCUGAUUUGCAUUUUAGUUUAGCUAGCAGAUGACUUUUGUUCAACUUUAAACUUGGAACAUAAAUACUAGUUAACAUUCCGGGAGUGCACAAAAAGUUUAGGGCAAUAGCAAUUAUUUAAUAAUUUUAGAAAUUGAAUUGGUUAAUUAAUUUGCUGUUGGUACUGUUUUAAUUAGGUUAGGGUCCUUUUAAUAAUUCAAAGGUUGUUAUUUUUUAUAUGAAAAUUACUUACUGAAUACUUCUAACAUUUUGAAAAAAAAUAUUCACUGCCUUAUGAAACUAUAGUUGAUUUGUUAUUUGAAUUUGUAUUUGAACUUAGUUUGAAACAAGUGAGCUUUUUAGGAAAAUUUUAAUUAUGAUGACCUGGCAUCAUAUACAGGGGUUUACUGUAGCAUGAUUAUCGGGGUGUUACAAAUCUCCUCCACUACAAGAAAUCUCGUCCCGAGAUUUAAGAGGUAGGAUGAGGGGAAAUGAUUUGGUUAUGAAAUUCUGACAAGUCUUCUUGUCUUGGUUGCUAUUAUCGAAGAGGUCAAUCCAUUGUGUUGAUGUCUUCAUUUCUCUACAUCAGGGUGUCGUGACGAAGUUGUCAUCCUUUCUUCGGGAACUCCAUCGUACUUACGAAAGGACAAGGGGGUGACUUCGGAAGAACGGACCUUUAUAAGGUUGCUUAUCUGGUAGAUAACAUCAGGGAAAGUGCCGGAAAGUAACUCUCGAAUUGAAACUUAAGAAAUAUCAAGAGCAAAGUAAGAAGGUACCAUGAGAAGUUUUGAGAGGGUAGGCAAUCGUUCGAUACCUGAAACAAAG
Molecule: long non-coding RNA, 39264 nt
Filed under: Triticum aestivum (bread wheat)
Lineage: Eukaryota; Viridiplantae; Streptophyta; Magnoliopsida; Poales; Poaceae
Description: long non-coding RNA (TAES_LNC027353)
Source: RNAcentral